CAGGGAAUCUUCGUCAAUGGGGGGAACCCUGACCGAGCAACGCCGCGGGAGUGAAGAAGGAUUUCGGAUGGUAAAGCACCGUUGUUAAGGAAGAACGAGUGUGAGAAUGGAAAGUUCAUACUGUGACGGUACUUAACCAGAAAGGGACGGCUAACUACGUGCGAGCAGCCGCGGUAUUACGUAGGUCCCGAGCGCUGUCCGGAUUUAUUGGGCGUAAAGCGAGCGCAGGCGGUUAGAUAAGUCUGAAGUUAAAGGCAGUGGCUCAACCAUUGUAGUCUUUGGAAACUGAUUAACUUGAGGGCAGAGGGGGGGGGAGGAAUUCCAUGUGUGGCGGUGAAAUGCGUAGUUAUAAGGAGGAACACCGGUGACGAAAGCGACUCUCUGGUCUGUAACUGACGCUGAGGCUCGAAAGCGUGGGGAACGAACAGG
RNAcentral lists this ribosomal RNA (429 nucleotides) under Bacteroidota bacterium. RNAcentral's name for it is "Bacteroidetes bacterium partial 16S ribosomal RNA". It matches the Rfam family "Bacterial small subunit ribosomal RNA", at positions 355 to 776 of the family's 1533-position model. Lineage: Bacteria; Pseudomonadati; Bacteroidota. The record is from RNAcentral.